RNAcentral lists this ribosomal RNA (500 nucleotides) under uncultured Actinomycetes bacterium. Its description in RNAcentral is "bacterial SSU rRNA". It matches the Rfam family "Bacterial small subunit ribosomal RNA", at positions 8 to 526 of the family's 1533-position model. The record is from RNAcentral. Lineage: Bacteria; Bacillati; Actinomycetota; Actinomycetes.
AGAGUUUGAUCCUGGCUCAGGACGAACGCUGGCGGCGUGCUUAACACAUGCAAGUCGAACGAUGAUGCCCUUCGGGGUGGAUUAGUGGCGAACGGGUGAGUAACACGUGGGCAACCUGCCCUCCACUCUGGGAUAACUCCGGGAAACCGGGGCUAAUACUGGAUAUGACCUUCUGGCGCAUGCUGGUGGGUGGAAAGUUUUUCGGUGGAGGAUGGGCCCGCGGCCUAUCAGCUUGUUGGUGGGGUGAUGGCCUACCAAGGCGGUGACGGGUAGCCGGCCUGAGAGGGCGACCGGCCACACUGGGACUGAGACACGGCCCAGACUCCUGCGGGAGGCAGCAGUGGGGAAUAUUGCACAAUGGGCGGAAGCCUGAUGCAGCGACGCCGCGUGAGGGAUGACGGCCUUCGGGUUGUAAACCUCUUUCAGCAGGGACCAAGCGUGAGUGAGUGUACCUGCAGAAGAAGCACCGGCUAACUACGUGCCAGCAGCCGCGGUAAUAC